AGUGUCAUAAAAACGGAACAUUAUAGGCGUCAUAAAAGUAAACUUUAUGGCAGAACCGUUAGGUUGUACAGGUGCACCUAUUAAAGUGGCCACUGAGUGUAUAUACCUUAUUAUUAUUAAUAUUAUUAUUAUUAAUAUAUAUUGUCUAGUCAGUGGUCAUCCUUACCAUCACCGGUGGGCGGCAGCAGCUUGUUCUGCUGCUCUUUCUUGGAGGAAGAUGAUGAUGAAGUCAGAUAUGUAGUUUGAGACCGCUCGUUCUCCAUGAACACUAACUUUCUGUUCAGGGCUUGGAUCUCGCUCUCUCUCCGGUGCAGCUCCACCUGCACGAGGGCGAAGCCGUCCUCCCACAGCUUGCUGAUCUCCACCACCGCAGCUUUAGCUAGCACCUCCAUGAUCGAGGUUAACUUGCUCUGGAAAGCCACACAGUUCGCCAUGUCGCCCCCCGGGUCAGCACCUCCACGAGCUGCGAACAACAUGGAAGUGUGAUACAAUAGUAACAGGAAACGAACUGGGUCAUGUGACGGAGGAUAUACGGCGCUGAUGGUGGGACAAUUUCUCUGCAGGAAAUCAAAGACUAAAAACAAAGCAUGCAUUGAAGAACCUCCUCCACGUUUAGCGUUUGUGCAACUAUAAUAAAUGGUUUAUAACAAACUACAAUGUAAACAUUAAGCUUCAAGCUCAACACGAGUUUUGAACACAUGCACAUAAACAUAUUUGUACAUGUUCAUAUUACACACUGUAAGAUUAUUUGAUGUAGUGUUGUAUAUAUUUAUGCAGCCUUGUGUUAUUAAUUAUUAAUUGAAAGUUAUGUUUUCAUAGCUAUAAUUGUUGACACAUUUGAAUCUCUUAUAACUACAUUGUAGUGUUAUAAACAAAGUAUUACGUGUAUUAUAUGCUGCUUUUAAUUCAAAAUGGGGGAAUUAAAGUAAAGUGUUGACGUUUGGGGUAAUUUUGUUAUAACAAAUCUAUGUGGACUAAUAUAUAAAGUCAAAUAUCUUGUAUUGCUUAUAUUACUUUCAGUCUUUAAAUAAUUAAUAUUUUGUCACAGGACCACACAAUCAGGUAAUUAUGUCACAAGUAUCUUAAUUGUGACAUGUGCCAUGAAAACACUUGGUAUGGUAAAUGCUGCCAUGAUAAGGCGUGGAAAUGGGCCUUCAUAAUAUGGAAGAGAUACAGGUAGAUCAAAGUAAAUGUGACUUGACCUUCCCCAGUGUUGUUGAUAUUUGACAUGUGAUGCUUAAUAGUCUGAUCCUGUUUGUUACUCUGACAGGACACACUUAAGGAGUGGCUGAGAUGACGCAUCUAUUAAUGUUUGAAUCCUGAACGGACACCUAUUUAGAACUCCACAUGAUCCAUACGCCACUUAUUUUAACAAUGUUAUCACCAAAAUUGCACCAAACUGAUGCUUAACACAUAUUUAAAGCAACUGAAAACACUUGUGGGUUGCAAUAUCUUGCUGUUGUUUGAGCUUGAUGUGUAUAGCAGUGCUGCUUAGUUUUGUCCACUAGAUGAUGCUCUAUUUCCAUUAAAGUACAAAAGCUAAGGUCAAAGCACCUGCCCUUGUAGGAAAAUAACUAUCAAAUUUGGCCCAUACUCAUGCCUAUAACUUAUUUAUUUGCCAAUAAAUUCCCCAAAUACGUUAUGUAUGAAAGACAUUCUCAAACUUUUUGCCAGUGACCAUCUGCUAACAUAAUCUUCCCACUAAAAAAUACGAGGUCAAGAAAAAAGAAACAAAAAGGCUAUUCUUUCAAGUUCUCCCAAUUUGUUGCACAUCAAAAAGCUUUGGUGAGACACAAUAAAUCUAACAAAAGUAGUGGUGACUGAGGUUGCAUUUGGAAACCAAAAUAGACCACUUUGCAGAAAAUGUUUGCCCCAAGACUUGAGUUUUGACCUAUUUCAUGCUUUAGUCAUAUAUGAAAAAAUACUUUUGAGUGAUUACAUGUUAAAGUUACAUUUUCAUUCAGUAUGCUAUAAUUGACCCUUUUAUUCAGUUUCAUUCCUCAUGAAGUAAUUAAUUUGUAUCUUAUCAUUAUUAUUCUAAUGUAGGCUAUUUAUUUAAUCUCUCUCUUUCUCUUUAUUUGCCCUCUGUUGCUGUAUGCCUCUUUUUACCCUUUGUAAAGCACUGUGAACUGCAUUUGUAUGAGAAGUGAUAGAUAAAUAAACUUGAACUUGCAACUUGAAAACUAAUUUACAAUCAAACAUG
Cottoperca gobio is the source of this 2203-nucleotide long non-coding RNA. The record is from Ensembl. Lineage: Eukaryota; Metazoa; Chordata; Actinopteri; Perciformes; Bovichtidae.